ACACAUCUGCCCAAGAGUAGUUCAUCUUCAGUUUUCAGAAAGCGAGGAAGAGAAGGUAUUUUUGCAUCAUUUCUCAUCUGAGCAGGAUACAAUCCGCAGGUCCUAGCUGACAACGUCUCGGAUAAAGGACAAUUUAUUCUCAGGGACAUGGCAGAUAUGGAGCCUCUGAUCAUUCUCCUUCUGCUAGCAGGACUAGCAGGGAAGACAUCACUGACAUACACAACAGCAAUGGGUAAUGU
This is a long non-coding RNA of Oncorhynchus tshawytscha (Chinook salmon), 239 nucleotides long. RefSeq lists it as uncharacterized. NCBI's taxonomy places the organism in Eukaryota, Metazoa, Chordata, Actinopteri, Salmoniformes, Salmonidae. The record is from RefSeq and is a predicted model, not a curated record. The transcript has 3 exons.